AUUGAACGCUGGCGGCAGGCCUAACACAUGCAAGUCGAGCGGCAGCGAUUAACUGAACUUCGGGGAACGUUAAGGGCGGCGAGCGGCGGACGGGUGAGUAAUGCCUGGGAAUAUGCCUGAUGUGGGGGAUAACUAUUGGAAACGAUAGCUAAUACCGCAUAAUCUCUUCGGAGCAAAGAGGGGGACUUCGGGCCUCUCGCGUCAGGAUUAGCCCAGGUGGGAUUAGCUUGUUGGUGAGGUAAUGGCUCACCAAGGCAACGAUCCCUAGCUGGUCUGAGAGGAUGAUCAGCCACACUGGAACUGAGACACGGUCCAGACUCCUACGGGAGGCAGCAGUGGGGAAUAUUGCACAAUGGGGGAAACCCUGAUGCAGCCAUGCCGCGUGUGUGAAGAAGGCCUUCGGGUUGUAAAGCACUUUCAGUAGGGAGGAAGGUAGUGUAGUUAACACCUGCACUAUUUGACGUUACCUACAGAAGAAGCACCGGCUAACUCCGUGCCAGCAGCCGCGGUAAUACGGAGGGUGCGAGCGUUAAUCGGAAUUACUGGGCGUAAAGCGCAUGCAGGCGGCCUGUUAAGUCAGAUGUGAAAGCCCGGGGCUUAACCUCGGAAUUGCAUUUGAAACUGGCAGGCUAGAGUCUUGUAGAGGGGGGUAGAAUUUCAGGUGUAGCGGUGAAAUGCGUAGAGAUCUGAAGGAAUACCAGUGGCGAAGGCGGCCCCCUGGACAAAGACUGACGCUCAGAUGCGAAAGCGUGGGGAGCAAACAGG
This 765-nucleotide ribosomal RNA is filed under the name uncultured bacterium. Its description in RNAcentral is "bacterial SSU rRNA". It matches the Rfam family "Bacterial small subunit ribosomal RNA", at positions 28 to 776 of the family's 1533-position model. The record is from RNAcentral.